RNAcentral lists this transfer RNA (76 nucleotides) under Acidimicrobiia bacterium. Its description in RNAcentral is "tRNA-Thr". Lineage: Bacteria; Bacillati; Actinomycetota; Acidimicrobiia. The record is from RNAcentral.
GCCUCCUUAGCUCAGUUGGCAGAGCGCAUCCAUGGUAAGGAUGAGGUCACCAGUUCGACUCUGGUAGGAGGCUCCA